UGGGGAAUCUUGGACAAUGGGGGCAACCCUGAUCCAGCCAUGCCGCGUGAGUGAUGAAGGCCUUAGGGUCGUAAAGCUCUUUCGCCUGUGAAGAUAAUGACGGUAGCAGGUAAAGAAACCCCGGCUAACUCCGUGCCAGCAGCCGCGGUAAUACGGAGGGGGUUAGCGUUGUUCGGAAUUAUUGGGCGUAAAGAGCUCGUAGGCGGUUCGGUAAGUCGGGUGUGAAAACUCUGGGCUCAACCCAGAGAGGCCACUCGAUACUGCUGUGACUAGAGUGCGGUAGGGGAGCGGGGAAAUUCCUGGUGUAGCGGUGAAAUGCGCAGAUAUCAGGAGGAACACCAGUGGCGAAGGCGCCGCUCUGGGCCGUAACUGACGCUGAGGAGCGAAAGCAUGGGUAGCAAACAGGAUUAGAUACCCUGGUAGUCCAUGCCGUAAACGAUGAAUGCCAGUCGUCGGGUAGCAUGCUAUUCGGUGACACACCUAACGGAUUAAGCAUUCCGCCU
This 503-nucleotide ribosomal RNA is filed under the name uncultured bacterium. RNAcentral's name for it is "bacterial SSU rRNA". It matches the Rfam family "Bacterial small subunit ribosomal RNA", at positions 355 to 874 of the family's 1533-position model. The record is from RNAcentral.